Molecule: long non-coding RNA, 287 nt
Filed under: Mytilus galloprovincialis (Mediterranean mussel)
Lineage: Eukaryota; Metazoa; Mollusca; Bivalvia; Mytilida; Mytilidae
Source: RNAcentral
CAAAUUUGAAAAUUAUUCAUGUAUAAAUUGAUAUAUUUAUAUUCUAAUUCUUCAUCAAUAGAUCUACUUAUUAUGACAAAUCUGCCAUCAUCAGGGGUCCAACUGUCAAUUUUAUGUAAAAGUCUUUAACUUUGAUCCACUAUGCAUAUCUCGAACACUUUUGUGUUUGCUAUGCGCAAUUAUUGGUGCAGCAUUGAAUAUUUGUACACAAUCUUCGUCAAACUGUAAUAAAUGCCACUUUGAAAUUAGUUAGAUUGUUUAUUAAUUUGUAAUGAUCACUUGUGUUU